UAAACGACUCUCGGCAACGGAUAUCUCGGCUCUCGCAUCGAUGAAGAACGUAGCGAAAUGCGAUACUUGGUGUGAAUUGCAGAAUCCCGUGAACCAUCGAGUCUUUGAACGCAAGUUGCGCCCGAAGCCUUCUGGCUGAGGGUACGCCUGCCUGGGCGUCACGCA
RNAcentral lists this ribosomal RNA (165 nucleotides) under Veronica lithophila. RNAcentral's name for it is "5.8S ribosomal RNA". It matches the Rfam family "5.8S ribosomal RNA". From Rfam's summary of the family: 5.8S ribosomal RNA (5.8S rRNA) is a component of the large subunit of the eukaryotic ribosome. It is transcribed by RNA polymerase I as part of the 45S precursor that also contains 18S and 28S rRNA. Lineage: Eukaryota; Viridiplantae; Streptophyta; Magnoliopsida; Lamiales; Plantaginaceae. The record is from RNAcentral.